RNAcentral lists this ribosomal RNA (301 nucleotides) under uncultured bacterium. Its description in RNAcentral is "partial 16S ribosomal RNA". It matches the Rfam family "Bacterial small subunit ribosomal RNA", at positions 509 to 807 of the family's 1533-position model. The record is from RNAcentral.
CAGCAGCCGCGGUAAUACGAAGGUGGCUAGCGUUGUUCGGAUUUACUGGGCGUAAAGCGCGCGUAGGCGGACUUUUAAGUCAGGGGUGAAAUCCCGGGGCUCAACCCCGGAACUGCCUUUGAUACUGGAAGUCUUGAGUAUGGUAGAGGUGAGUGUAAUUCCGAGUGUAGAGGUGAAAUUCGUAGAUAUUCGGAGGAACACCAGUGGCGAAGGCGGCUCACUGGACCAUUACUGACGCUGAGGUGCGAAAGCGUGGGGAGCAAACAGGAUUAGAUACCCCGGUAGUCCCUGUCUCUUAUAC